Octopus sinensis (East Asian common octopus) is the source of this 140-nucleotide long non-coding RNA. RefSeq lists it as uncharacterized. The record is from RefSeq and is a predicted model, not a curated record. NCBI's taxonomy places the organism in Eukaryota, Metazoa, Mollusca, Cephalopoda, Octopoda, Octopodidae. The transcript is spliced from 3 exons.
UGAAACUACUAUGUACACAUAAAAAACAAAAAAUAGUUAAAAUAUCUUCACAGUAUAUAAUGGUGGCAAGUUUUACAUCAUCUGAAAAGUCAUUAGUUGAACUAUUAAUCCUCUUGCAUUCUGGGAGGUGGGGUAUUGGA